GCCACGGGGGGAAAGAUAGAGAAUUCUCCAGCCGCCAGACAAGAGUCGGUGAGCAACCGUGAAUCCACGCAGGCAAGCCCACGCGUCGUACAGGAACGUCCUCGAUAAUAACGAUCGCUGCAUCGGGCUGUUUACGCGAGAGAGACAGAGGGUGUGAUCGGAGGAGGGACAGAGAGGGAGA
Prionailurus viverrinus (fishing cat) is the source of this 181-nucleotide long non-coding RNA. RefSeq lists it as uncharacterized. Lineage: Eukaryota; Metazoa; Chordata; Mammalia; Carnivora; Felidae. The record is from RefSeq and is a predicted model, not a curated record. The transcript has 3 exons.